This 495-nucleotide ribosomal RNA is filed under the name uncultured bacterium. RNAcentral's name for it is "partial 16S ribosomal RNA". It matches the Rfam family "Bacterial small subunit ribosomal RNA", at positions 28 to 507 of the family's 1533-position model. The record is from RNAcentral.
GAUGAACGCUGGCGGCGUGCCUAAUACAUGCAAGUCGAGCGAACGGACGAGAAGCUUGCUUCUCUGAUGUUAGCGGCGGACGGGUGAGUAACACGUGGAUAACCUACCUAUAAGACUGGGAUAACUUCGGGAAACCGGAGCUAAUACCGGAUGAUAUUUUGAACCGCAUGGUUCAAAAGUGAAAGACGGUCUUGCUGUCACUUAUAGAUGGAUCCGCGCUGCAUUAGCUAGUUGGUAAGGUAACGGCUUACCAAGGCAACGAUGCAUAGCCGACCUGAGAGGGUGAUCGGCCACACUGGAACUGAGACACGGUCCAGACUCCUACGAGGCAGCAGUAGGGAAUCUUCCGCAAUGGGCGAAAGCCUGACGGAGCAACGCCGCGUGAGUGAUGAAGGUCUUCGGAUCGUAAAACUCUGUUAUUAGGGAAGAACAUAUGUGUAAGUAACUGUGCACAUCUUGACGGUACCUAAUCAGAAAGCCACGGCUAACUACGUG